This 246-nucleotide ribosomal RNA is filed under the name uncultured bacterium. Its description in RNAcentral is "partial 16S ribosomal RNA". It matches the Rfam family "Bacterial small subunit ribosomal RNA", at positions 527 to 772 of the family's 1533-position model. The record is from RNAcentral.
GUAUGGGGCAAGCGUUAUCCGGAUUUACUGGGUGUAAAGGGAGCGUAGGCGGCCCUGUAAGUCUGAUGUGAAAAUUUGGGGCUCAACCCCAAACGUGCAUUGGAAACUGCAGGGCUUGAGUGCCGGAGAGGCAGGCGGAAUUCCUAGUGUAGCGGUGAAAUGCGUAGAUAUUAGGAGGAACACCAGUGGCGAAGGCGGCCUGCUGGACGGUAACUGACGCUGAGGCUCGAAAGCGUGGGGAGCAAA